Long non-coding RNA from Cephus cinctus (wheat stem sawfly), 2050 nucleotides. RefSeq lists it as uncharacterized. Lineage: Eukaryota; Metazoa; Arthropoda; Insecta; Hymenoptera; Cephidae. The record is from RefSeq and is a predicted model, not a curated record. The transcript has 2 exons.
UAAUUCAUAUAACGUUAAAUGUACAAAGUGGAUUAAAACAGAGAGUGGUUUUUUCCAAUCUGAUGUCUAUAAAAUGAAGGAGAAUUAACAUUGUAUUCUUGUAUAAGGACAGAAAUGAAGAUUAUAGAUUAGGCUUAAAAUGAGCAGUUGCUGGCUUACGAAUAAUAAUGAGACUAAAUUGUCGUUUAGUUAGAUGUCUUCGGUAUAUCAAGAGGGAUUACAGGGUGGAAAAGUCAAUUAUCAUUAACAGAUGUUGAGAUUAAGCAUUCAAAGAAUCUUCAAUGUGAGCCCUAAUAGAAUGGUGUAUCUUUUGCUUAGGACAUAUCAACCCUUAAAGACUGGUCCAGUUUUCUUUUAUAUAUAUAUUAUUUAUUAUUAAACACGUAUGUAUAUUCAUUUUUAAACACGAAUAUUUUACUCAUGUUAUGAAGAGUAAAGUAUGUUUCCUUAUCCUUAAUUAAUAAUCUCAUGGGACGGACUACAUUAUAUUGCUAGAGAGGGAAGGUGCAAUGAAAUUUCUAUCAUUUGUUUAAUUUAAAGAUUUCAAGAUCAAUUGUGUAAUGUGUUAUACAUUGGACAUGUGUUGUUUUAGAACAUUUUAAUAAAUGAAGAUUGCAUCAUGUUAAUUAUCGUAUUAUAAUAUGGUAAUUGAUAUCUUAUUAGUACUUUGCGAUACGAGUGCGAGAAAGCGAACUUUAUAGGCAGGCGGUGAAGUUACUCGCACACGAGUAACAUAACGGCACGAGCCGAAGGCGAGUGCGGCAAGUGUGAAAAACUUCACGAUCUGCAUGUAAUGUUCGCUUUAUUGCACCAGUGUCGCAUAAUAUUUUCUGUAAUGAAUGCAUGAGAAGUGCUACUUUUCGUGACUCCAAAGUGUGGCGUAAGUGGCGCUUUAUAACUAAGGACGCGAUAAAAAUGCUGCGCAUGCUCAAAUCGGCCCAAUUUCGGCCCGCACUAGUGCGAUAAAAUGAACUUUGUUCUCGCGCGUUGUCAUGACAUGCAUUCACUUUGAAGGCCUUCCUUGCUUUCCUUAUGGCUGCCUCCUCCAAUGAGAUGUGCCAGUCACUUUGGAGGCACAAAAAGUAGCACUUUUCAUGCAUGCGUUACAGAAAAUAUUAUGCGAUACUGGUGCAAUAGAGCGAACAAUAUACGCGGGUCGUGAAGUUUGUCACACUCCAUGCAAUAAUUAACCAAAAAUUGAAAGAGUAGUGCGACCCGAAAAUUUCGAUAUGAAUUGAAAACAUGUUAAAAAUUUUAGGUUGUAUUACUUUUAUACAUUCGGGUUAAUUACUGCGAGAAUGCUAUUAUUCCGUUAAGUGUCGAGUGAAAAAAAUUUUUUUUUUACCAAAAGUACUUUUAAUACAAAUUUUAUUGAAUUGAUAUGAGAAUUACAUCUAAAGACUUCUGAAUUAUUGUCAUAGAAAUCAUUUUUUUUUCUAAAGUGUGCAUAUAUGUGUCAGUGACAGUCAAACGUAGUUUUUUUGGUCCGCUGGUGACGAAUCCAAAAUCGAAAUUUCAAAAUUCAAAAUGGCGGAUACAAUUUGGCAGGUUCGAGUAAUUAACGGUAUUCCAUUACCUCCGUUACCUACUGUUACCUCCGUUAUUAGCUGGUAGAAUAUGAUCACGCCCUCAUAGUGCGGCACGGGGAGGCUGCGGUAGGAUUUAACAUUCCAUUUUUUACUUUUUUGUUUUUUAAUUUUAAAAUCAGGAAAAACCGCAUAAAUUAAAAACAAAAAGAUUACAAACAAAAAAUUUUUUUAAAAUAGAGUUUGAAAUCGUACCGCAUUCUCCUUGUGGCUCACCCUGGGGUCGUAAUUACAUUUCAACAGCUAAUAACGGUUGGAACAGUAGCCAUAAUGGAAUACUGUUACUCACUCGGAGUCGACAUAUUGGAUCCGCCAUUUUGAUUUUCUCAAUUUCAGGUUCAGAUCCGUAAUCAGCAAUGCAAGAAACAUGAGUAUAUCAAGUUUGAUGCAAAUCCGUUAAAAAGUGAUAGACAUAUUCAUGGUGCUCAUACAGGGUUGUCCUCAAAAAAAAAAAAAAAAAAAAA